UAAGGAAUAUUGGUCAAUGGACGGAAGUCUGAACCAGCCAUGCCGCGUGCAGGAAGACGGCCUUAUGGGUUGUAAACUGCUUUUAUAUCGGAAAAACCCCCUUUACGAGAUAGAGGGCUGAUUGUACGAUAAGAAUAAGGAUCGGCUAACUCCGUGCCAGCAGCCGCGGUAAUACGGAGGAUCCGAGCGUUAUCCGGAUUUAUUGGGUUUAAAGGGUGCGUAGGCGGGCAUAUAAGUCAGUGGUGAAAUCCUUCAGCUUAACUGAAGAACAGCCAUUGAUACUGUAAGUCUUGAGUACAGACGAAGUGGGCGGAAUGUGUAAUGUAGCGGUGAAAUGCAUAGAUAUUACACAGAACACCGAUAGCGAAGGCAGCUCACUAGGCUGAAACUGACGCUGAGGCACGAAAGCGUGGGGAUCAAACA
Molecule: ribosomal RNA, 423 nt
Filed under: uncultured prokaryote
Description: bacterial SSU rRNA
Rfam family: Bacterial small subunit ribosomal RNA
Source: RNAcentral